Molecule: ribosomal RNA, 483 nt
Filed under: uncultured bacterium
Lineage: Bacteria
Description: partial 16S ribosomal RNA
Rfam family: Bacterial small subunit ribosomal RNA
Source: RNAcentral
AUUGAACGCUGGCGGCAUGCUUUACACAUGCAAGUCGAACGGCAGCGCGGGCUUCGGCCUGGCGGCGAGUGGCGAACGGGUGAGUAAUACAUCGGAACGUGCCCAGUAGUGGGGGAUAGCUCGGCGAAAGCCGGAUUAAUACCGCAUACGACCUGAGGGUGAAAGCGGGGGAUCUUCGGACCUCGCGCUAUUGGAGCGGCCGAUGGCAGAUUAGCUAGUUGGUGGGUAAAGGCCUACCAAGGCCACGAUCUGUAGCUGGUCUGAGAGGACGACCAGCCACACUGGGACUGAGACACGGCCCAGACUCCUACGGGAGGCAGCAGUGGGGAAUUUUGGACAAUGGGCGAAAGCCUGAUCCAGCAAUGCCGCGUGUGUGAUGAAGGCCUUCGGGUUGUAAAGCACUUUUGGCGGGAACGAAAAGGACUGUGCCAAUACCACGGUUCGAUGACGGUACCCGCAGAAUAAGCACCGGCUAACUACGUG